Molecule: RNA transcript, 3031 nt
Organism: Lagenorhynchus albirostris (white-beaked dolphin)
Lineage: Eukaryota; Metazoa; Chordata; Mammalia; Artiodactyla; Delphinidae
Gene: PDE9A
Gene name: phosphodiesterase 9A
Exons: 19
Source: RefSeq, a predicted model, not a curated record
GCGUCGAGAAAGUACAGUAAAAAGUCCAAGUGCAGCGCUCGUCGAGAUGGGAACGGGCUCUUCCAGCUACCGGCCCAAGGCCAUCUAUUUGGACAUCGAUGGACGCAUUCAGAAGGUGGUCUUCAGCAAGUAUUGCAACUCCAGCGACAUUAUGGACCUGUUCUGCAUCGCCACCGGCCUGCCUCGGAACACGACCAUCUCCCUCCUGACCACAGAUGACGCCAUGGUCUCCAUCGACCCCACCAUGCCUGCCAAUUCGGAACGGACUCCCUACAAAGUGAGACCUGUGGCCAUCAAGCAGCUCUCUGAGAAAGAAGAGUUGAUCCAGAGCGUGCUGACCCAGGUGGCAGAGCAGUUCUCAAGAGCAUUUAAAAUCAACGAACUGAAAGCCGAAGUUGCGCAUCACUUGGCAGUGCUAGAGAAGCGCGUUGAAUUGGAAGGACUGAAAGUGGUGGAGGUUGAGAAAUGCAAGAGUGACAUUAAAAAGAUGAGGGACGAGCUGGCAGCUAGAAGCAACAGGACCAGCUGUCCCUGUAAAUAUAGUUUUUUGGAUAACAGCAAGAAGUUGACAUCUCGACGCGAUGUCCCCGCUUAUCCCAAGUACCUGCUGUCCCCCGAGACCGUAGACGCCCUGCGGAAGCCCACCUUCGACGUCUGGCUCUGGGAGCCCAACGAGAUGCUGAGCUGCUUAGAGCACAUGUACCACGACCUCGGCCUGGUCAGAGAUUUUGGCAUCAACCCCAUCACCCUCAAGCGGUGGCUGCUCUGCGUGCACGACAACUACCGUAACAACCCUUUCCACAACUUCCGUCACUGCUUCUGCGUCACCCAGAUGAUGUACAGCAUGACCUGGCUCUGCGGGCUGCAGGAGAAGUUUUCCCAGAUGGAUAUCUUGAUCUUAAUGACAGCGGCCAUCUGCCAUGACUUGGAUCAUCCAGGCUACAACAACACGUACCAGAUCAAUGCCCGCACGGAGCUGGCCAUCCGCUACAAUGACAUCUCGCCCCUGGAGAACCACCACUGUGCCGUGGCCUUCCAGAUCCUCAGCCAGCCCGAGUGCAACAUCUUCUCCAGCGUGCCGGCGGAGGGCUUCAAGCAGAUCAGACAGGGGGUGAUCACGUUAAUCCUGGCCACCGACAUGGCGAGGCACGCGGAAAUUAUGGAUUCUUUCAAAGAAAAAAUGGAGAAUUUUGACUACAGCAACGAGGAGCACAUGACCCUGCGCACCUCUUCAGUGCUCUGGGGUCCCAGCACUCUCCACCCGCUGGGGUUUUUUUCGUCAUCUGUUAAACCUCUGCCUCCAGGCAGUACCGUCUGUCUACACUUUUUACAUAUUCUCGACAUCAAGAAGACACUUCUGAGCUUUGCAGUGUAUAGUUUGUAUGACAAAACGUCCGUGUGUUCAAGGGGCUUCCCUACUACUGAGGCCCCUCCAGGAAAGAUUCUGGCCCUCGGGGGUGCGGGGAUGCCCCGUCUUCCCCCUGCAGCGGGAAGUAUGUCCUUGUGGGGGGCAGGGGGCAACAAUGCUGGGUUCCCCUCCGCCAGCAUCACCCGCCCUCCUUCCCUGCCGGCCCGUGAUGGUGAGUCCAGACGCACAGCGCUGUGGGAUGUGUCCCGUGUUGCACAGCUGAUUCCAGAUCUCUUCUUUCAGCUGAAGAUGAUCCUGAUUAAGUGCUGUGACAUCUCUAACGAGGUCCGUCCGAUGGAGGUGGCGGAACCCUGGGUGGAUUGUUUAUUAGAGGAGUAUUUCAUGCAGAGCGACCGCGAGAAGUCGGAGGGCCUUCCCGUGGCGCCUUUCAUGGACCGGGACAAAGUGACCAAGGCCACGGCCCAGACUGGGUUCAUCAGCUUCGUGCUGAUCCCGAUGUUUGAAACGGUGACCAAGCUCUUCCCUGCGGUGGGGGAGCUCAUGCUGCAGCCCCUGUGGGAGUCCAGAGACCGCUACGAGGAGCUGAAGCAAAUGGACGCCAUGAAGGAGAAGUCACAGACGGGGCUUCCCUGGUGGCGCAGCGGUUGAGAGUCCGCCUGCCGAUGCAGGGGACGCGGGUUCGUGCCCCGGUCCGGGAAGAUCCCACAUGACGCGGAGCGGCUGGGCCCGUGAGCCAUGGCCGCUGAGCCUGCGUGUCCGGAGCCUGUGCUCCGCAACGGGAGAGGCCACAGCAGUGAGAGGCCCGCGUACCGCAAAAAAAAAAAAAAAAAAAAGUCACAGACGGGUCCUGAAACUCCAAGAACCUAAGAGCAAAAGAUGCAGAGAACAGAUGGAAGAGGCGGUGUCCCCCUGCCGAGCCCCCUGACAGGAGGGCUAAAGGGGCCUGACUCCCCAGGGUCAACUGAGAGCCAUCGCUGCGAAGGCCUCAGUCUCCAGGUCCCAGGCCAGCCGCCUAGAAGGGCCGUUAGGACGCUCCAGUGCCCCUUCCUGUUCCCAGAAAGAACAGACCCACAAAAGAGGUGAAAGGGUCUCGGACUUCGCACCCGCAUCCACCAGUGCGCUGGCGCUGCACCUGUGGCCAUGAGUGCGAGGACAGUGGCCGUGUGCAGUGGGGCCUCUGACCGCAGGGAAGGUGGCCCGUGCAGAGCUGUUGUCCGGGAAGCUCCCCCAGGCUGUAGACCCCAGUCUCCUCCCGCGUCUUAGCAUCUGCAGCCCCGGGAAGGUCUUGGGCAGACGAGCAGUCACUCACUCACUGUUCCUGGAGCUUGAUUUUUGCCUUCCGUAUCCUCUGUCCUGGUUACAGCAGAAGGCUGAGAGCCUGACACCUGAGAGCACCGCGUCAAGAGAGAAAAGCAGAGAUGGGGGAAAACGUGAAGAUCAUGCCUGAAGAAAGCCGUGUGCUGUGGGCUGCUCUCUGGGCCCGGCCGGCUGGGCUUUGCGGAUCGGCCCUGCAGGGAGACGUGGUCCUGAGCAUCUGCCACCAUGAGAUCAUGUUUUCUAAGAACCAUUUUGUUCACUGAUAACAAAAAAAAGGACUUCACGACGCUGUACAGAAUUUUUAUUUUUAAACUGUCUUUUAAAUAAUAUAUUCUUAUACAGAAA